GCAGUCGGCCGGUCCUGUAAAGCGGAGGAAUUUUCCCUUCUCCCCUUUAGCCAAGCUUUCAAAUCUUGUUCCUUCCCCCCCCCCCCCCCUUUUCUCCAGAAAUUCCUUCCCGGGAUGAGGAGCCUCGCUUAGCUGCUCCUGAGCCCCGAUCUACCCCGCCGAAAUGUAUUUUGUUUCGCAGUGUCACAUGUUUUGGGUUUUAAAACUGUGAAACCUUUACUUCCAGAGAUCAAAAUGUCUCACUAAACAUUUGCUUAUUAUCUGAUCCGUAAAGUUUAAUAUUUAACCUUUUUUUAGCCCCCCCCGAGCUGAUAAAUUCGCAAGCUCCCAUACCCUUUUCUUUCCUCAUUUUACUUUAAUGUGCUUUACUGAAGCCUACUUAAAAAUAUUUUUUUUCGGUAAAAGUUGAUUUAUUACUGAAGACGCGGUUCCUUUUCCCUCUACUAUAACUGCGAUUUGCUUAGAUUCUAGAGGAGUCGCGACUCGGGUUGUUUUUUUUUUUGGUUUGGUUUGGUUGUUUUGUUUGGGUUGUUGGUUUUUUUUUUUUGGUUGUUGUUUUGGGGUUUUAUUUUUUUUUUUGCCCAGAAAUUAAAACCACGGGUUGGUUUCAUUUUCAACAGAAUUCGCAAGGAAAUUCCGCAACUGGUUGGUUCGCAGAUCGCUAGUAGUGGAGUGGGGGGAAAAUGAUAAAGAUUCAAUUGUGUCCAUCGUAAAAGAAAGAAGCAAAAAUGAAUCCUUCCCAUCGCUAACCUAACCGUGUUCGGAGAUGGAAACCUCUUCCCCAGUGUUUGGCUGCAGCAGGAAUGGAGAGGGAUCGUUUCUAAAGAACUUCAUUUUAUUUUCCGGGAAUCUGAAGGCGGGAAGAGGAGGUCUUGGAGGGGACUAGAUGGGAAACUGGGGGGGGAAGAGGGAGGCGACGAGAGACCAAGAAGCCCUUCUCGGUUCUAGUCCCCAGAAAGGUUCCAUGAAUCUCACAGGAAUGUAGCUAGGAUAGAGGGGCUAACUUGGGGAGAAGGGAGUGGAGGAGACGAGGGGAUCUGAUCUUCCGAGAGAGGGGGAAAAAAAGCC
RNAcentral lists this long non-coding RNA (1068 nucleotides) under Ornithorhynchus anatinus (platypus). Its description in RNAcentral is "lncRNA (ENSOANG00000039354.1)". The record is from RNAcentral. Lineage: Eukaryota; Metazoa; Chordata; Mammalia; Monotremata; Ornithorhynchidae.